This 253-nucleotide ribosomal RNA is filed under the name uncultured bacterium. RNAcentral describes it as "partial 16S ribosomal RNA". It matches the Rfam family "Bacterial small subunit ribosomal RNA", at positions 524 to 776 of the family's 1533-position model. The record is from RNAcentral.
UACAGAGGGUGCAAGCGUUAAUCGGAGUUACUGGGCGUAAAGGGCGCGUAGGCGGUUAUUUAAGUGAGAUGUGAAAUCCCUGGGCUUAACCUAGGAACUGCAUCUUAUACUGGGUAACUGGAGUACUGUAGAGGGUAGUGGAAUUUCCGGUGUAGCGGUGAAAUGCGUAGAGAUCGGAAGGAACACCAGUGGCGAAGGCGGCUACCUGGACAGAUACUGACGCUGAGGCGCGAGAGCGUGGGGAGCAAACGGG